Molecule: ribosomal RNA, 468 nt
Filed under: uncultured bacterium
Lineage: Bacteria
Description: partial 16S ribosomal RNA
Rfam family: Bacterial small subunit ribosomal RNA
Source: RNAcentral
GACGAACGCUGGCGGCGUGCUUAACACAUGCAAGUCGAACGGAAAGGCCCUGCUUUUGUUGGUUGCUCGAGUGGCGAACGCGUGAGUAACACGUGAGUAACCUGUCCUUGAAUUUGUGAUAACUCCUGGAAACUGGGGCUAAUACAGGAUAGGAGCUCCUGCUGCACGUUGGUGGUUGGUAAGAUACGGCGGUGGUGGCUGGACUCGCGGCUUAUCAGCCUGUUUGUGGGGUAGUGGCUUUCCAAGGCUUUGACGGGUAGCCGGCCUGAGAGGGUGACCGGCGACAUUGGGACUGAGGUACGGCCCAGUAGCCUACGGGAGGCAGAAGUGGGGAAUAUUGCGGAAUGGGCGGAAGCCUGAUGCAGCAACGCCGGGUGCGGGAUGAUGGCCUUCGGGUUGUAAACCGCUUUCGACUGUGACGAAGCGUGAGUGACGGUAAUUGGUAAAGAAGCACCGGCUAACUACGUG